Molecule: ribosomal RNA, 1205 nt
Filed under: Rhopalaea idoneta
Lineage: Eukaryota; Metazoa; Chordata; Ascidiacea; Aplousobranchia; Diazonidae
Description: large ribosomal RNA
Rfam family: Archaeal large subunit ribosomal RNA (bases 986-1144)
Source: RNAcentral
UUGUGUUUUAUUAUAAUUGUUUUUUUUGUUUGUGGCAAAAUAUGUAUUAGGUGGAUUGUAUAUAUGUUUCUUUUUGUUUUUUUUAUUAUUUUUUUUGUGUAUUUAUUUAGAUUUAGUGUAUUAUUAUAUUUUUGGCGUGAGCUUAUGAUUGUAGUUAUAUUUGUUUGGUUUGGUAACUUUAUGUGGUGUCCUUUUUGCUUACGGGGUAACAAUUGUGAUUUUAAGGUUUUUCUUUUUCUCGAAAGGAGUAUGGUCAAUUGGUUUUUUCUUUUAUUUUGUUCAGAAAUUUAAUAUAAAGAACUAAUGGUAAUGAUAUUUUAAUCGAAUCUCUUUAUAACUAGCUUUUUUUUAGGUUAUUUAAUGAGACAUUUAUUUGUUAGAUGUGUGAGUUUAAGGGUCAGCUUUAAAUUUUUUUCUUAUAUUUUGUUAAUGUUUUUUUGUUUUAUUUGUAGAAUUCAAAGUGUUUUUAGUGUUCGGACUUGUUGUAUUUUAUUUUAGUAUUUUUUUUUGUAUUGUUUUAAAUUAGAGUAAUGUGGUUAUUAUGAGUAUACUUUUUGCCUUUCUUUUUUAGGUUGAGAUUUAUUGUGGUAAAUUUUUUUGUGUUUUUUUGUAUGAACUAAUGGAGGGUCAUGGUGUUUACUAAAGACAUUCCUUUAAGAUUCUUAUUUUUUGGUGUAUAUUUUUUUUCUUAUGUUAUUAUAAGAAGAGUUUUUAUUAAUUCUUAAUUAGGAGUAGUAUAUAGAGUUAUUUUGAUUCUCUUAGUUUUCAUUAUAGAUGUAGAAGUUUUUUUAUUAGUGUAAUAGACUAAUGUUUUUUAAGAGGAGGAGAAGACCCUUGGUGAUUUAGUUUAAUAAUAACACUUAAUGUUUAUUAAAAUCUUUUGCUGGGAUAGUAUAGAUUGAUGAUGUAUUAGUUUUUUUUUGUUUGUAAUUUUUUUAUGUUGGCUGGUUGAACUUUAAUUAUUUGUCAGUUAAUCAACCCUAGGGGUAACAGCGCAAUAGAUGAAGCAAGUACUUAUUUAAUCAUUUUUUUACGACCUCGAUGUCGGCUUAAAAGAUAUGUAUGGAGCAGUUUUUAUAUUUUUGUGAUUGUUCAUCAUAUAGUUUUUUACAUGAGCUGGGUUUAGAACGGAGUGAUCUAGUUCGGUUUUUAUCUCUUGUUUGUUUUUCAUUUAGUACGAAAGGAAGUUUGUUUUUUUGUUUUUU